UACGGAGGGUGCAAGCGUUAUCCGGAUUCACUGGGUUUAAAGGGUGCGUAGGCGGGCAUUUACGUCAGUGGUGAAAUACCUGAGCUUAACUUGGGAACUGCCAUUGAUACUAUUUGUCUUGAAUACUGUGGAGGUCAGCGGAAUAUGUCAUGUAGCGGUGAAAUGCUUAGAUAUGACAUAGAACACCAAUUGCGAAGGCAGCUGGCUACACAAAUAUUGACACUGAGGCACGAAAGCGUGGGGAUCAAACAGG
Molecule: ribosomal RNA, 253 nt
Filed under: uncultured bacterium
Lineage: Bacteria
Description: partial 16S ribosomal RNA
Rfam family: Bacterial small subunit ribosomal RNA
Source: RNAcentral